RNAcentral lists this ribosomal RNA (467 nucleotides) under uncultured bacterium. RNAcentral describes it as "partial 16S ribosomal RNA". It matches the Rfam family "Bacterial small subunit ribosomal RNA", at positions 28 to 507 of the family's 1533-position model. The record is from RNAcentral.
GACGAACGCUGGCGGCGUGCUUAACACAUGCAAGUCGAACGGAAAGGCCCUGCUUUUGUGGGUGCUCGAGUGGCGAACGGGGGAGUAACACGUGAGUAACCUGCCCUUGACUUUGGGAUAACUUCCGGAAACUGGGGCUAAUACCGGAUAGGAGCCCCUGCUGCAUGGUGGGGGUUGGGAAGUUUCGGCGGUUGGGGAUGGACUCGCGGCUUAUCAGCUUGUUGGUGGGGUAGUGGCUUACCAAGGCUUUGACGGGUAGCCGGCCUGAGAGGGUGACCGGCCACAUUGGGACUGAGAUACGGCCCAGACUCCUACGGGAGGCAGCAGUGGGGAAUAUUGCACAAUGGGCGGAAGCCUGAUGCAGCAACGCCGCGUGCGGGAUGACGGCCUUCGGGUUGUAAACCGCUUUCGCCUGUGACGAAGCGUGAGUGACGGUAAUGGGUAAAGAAGCACCGGCUAACUACGUG